AUUGACUUCUUUAUAGUUGUAAGUCCUUCUUUAAUAUAUGUUAUAAAUAAUGACAUUAUGCGAAUUUUUCAGAACUGCAGUUAAUCCCUGGGGCCAGAGGAUUCCGAAUUUCCAACCCUCCCAUUUUGUUGGUCUGUCCCUUGCAUGCUAGUUUAGAGCUCUUUCAGCAAGCAACUAUGACAGCCCUGAGGAGAAAAUCCAUUCUACUGACAGGCUAUCUGGAAUACAUGCUCAAACAAUACCACAACAAAGAGAACACAGGAAACAGAGGACCACUUGUGAACAUCAUCACUCCAUCUAGAGCAGAGGACCGUGGCUGCCAGUUAACACUGACCUUUUCCGUUCCCAGGAAAGGCGUUUUUGAGGAACUGGAAAAAAGAGGAGUCAUUUGUGACAAGCGAGAACCAGAUGGCAUCCGUGUGGCCCCUGUUCCUCUCUAUAAUUCUUUCCAUGAUGUUUAUAAGUUUGUCAGACUGCUCACUGCCAUUCUUGACUCUACAGAAGCUAGCCACGUCUCCUAGAACAACUCAAGCAAAUCUCAUUUCACUGCUAUUGAAUUUUAGUCACUAAAAUGUAUCUAGAAAUUGAUUGCAUAGAACUGGUAGUAAUUAUAUAAACUUAGAUAAAACUUGAUAUAUUUUUGAUGACAGUGUUGCUGGGGAAUGUAGGGUCUCUGGGAGUGGGAAGUCAGAUAUUACAUGGCUCCAACCUGUGUCUUGAUCAGCUGUACAUUCCAUGGUCACUGAAUGGUCUCUUUAAUUUGUGAUUGAACUGACAACUUUAUAAUGUACAUGGGCUUCUUAUAGCAGCAUUGGAAGUAUCACUUUAAUUUUGAU
Molecule: long non-coding RNA, 836 nt
Filed under: Cricetulus griseus (Chinese hamster)
Lineage: Eukaryota; Metazoa; Chordata; Mammalia; Rodentia; Cricetidae
Description: lncRNA (ENSCGRG00000026393.1)
Source: RNAcentral